Molecule: ribosomal RNA, 439 nt
Filed under: uncultured bacterium
Lineage: Bacteria
Description: partial 16S ribosomal RNA
Rfam family: Bacterial small subunit ribosomal RNA
Source: RNAcentral
CUACGGGAUGCUCCAGUGAGGAAUAUUGCACAAUGGGGGAAACCCUGAUGCAGCAACGCCGCGUGGAGGAUGACGCAUUUCGGUGUGUAAACUCCUUUUAUCAGAGAAGAAAAUGACGGUAUAUGAUGAAUAAGCUCCGGCUAACUCCGUGCCAGCAGCCGCGGUAAUACGGAGGGAGCAAGCGUUAUUCGGAAUCACUGGGCGUAAAGGACGCGUAGGCGGGUUUUUAAGUCAGGUGUGAAAUCCUAUGGCUCAACCAUAGAACUGCACUUGAAACUGGGGACCUAGAGUAUGGAAGGGGCAGGUGGAAUUAGUGGUGUAGGGGUAAAAUCCGUAGAUAUCACUAGGAAUACCGAAAGCGAAGGCGACCUGCUGGGACAUUACUGACGCUGAGGCGUGAAAGCGUGGGGAGCAAACAGGAUUAGAUACCCCCGUAGUC